GAGCAGCUUUCACUCCUGUGCUGUCUCCACUGUCUGCUGUGAAGGGAGCACUCACCAGUGCCUUUUCCUCAGGGAAUACUAAUGGUGUCUGUAUCCUCCAGCUGUCCUCUCCAAUCACCUCUGGGAGCUUCAGAGCUUUGAGAGAUACUCUCUUCUGUUGUGUUGAAAUUGUCUGAUGCUGUUCUAGAACUACUCAGACACACAGACACAGAGAGAGAGGGAGAGAGGGAGACAGUCAAUACCUGUAAUGCUUUGUUUCCUUAGGAAUCCCAGGCUUAACAACAAUCACCUCACCAUUGUCCCAGAUGUAACAUGCAGUUGUGGUUUUCAUGGUGCAGCAGAAAUGUGGGGACACAGCUGUGGCCCAGAUCAGUUAAUGCAAUUAAAAAUCUCAAGGCUGGAGCAGAACCCAAGAAAUCUGAUGGAGCUGCAAAAGCUGGGCCCAAGCAGUGAGCACCAGCCAGGGUGGUACAGAGUGCUCUCAUUGGCUUAGAAGCAACACAGCAUCUGAAAUCAGAACAUCUCUCUCUCUCUCCCUCCGUCAGAAAACAUCUGGAAGAGUGGAAAAUUCUCCAGCAGAAUUUGGGGGCUGUGAAACAAAUACAGAAAUAUUUCUCUCUGUUGGUUUUCUGGCUUGCCUUUUGUAUCUUAGAACUGGUUGGGACAUUUCACUCAUUAUUACCAGACUUGGUUUCAGUCAGUGAGAAAUGCUAACAUUUGCUGAUUUGCUGCUGUGGUUUGGUAUUCUUAGACCUAAACCCUGGUUUGUUCUUUUGAUAACCCUAGGAAAUCCGUGUCACAUUUAAAUAACAUUUUUCUAGUACCUUUUCAUCAGGCAGUCCUCUGCCUGUGCAUAGAUUGUUAGCAAGCUUUUACUCCACACAUUCCAGCCAGAGCUGCAGUUGCUCCAUGAGACACUUCUGUUGUGAGGCUGGUUGGGUUAUUUAUCAGCCCAGCACAGCCCUCACUGCCAGUUUGCUGCCAGCUGUUAACUAUACAAUAGCACUGGGAACAAAAUCAGUUCUUCCUUUGCCAGUGGACUUGGACAUAAUUCAGCUACCUGUUGACAAAUGAUGAUUUGUUUAACAGCAUAAACAAUAAUAUUUUUGUAGCCAAAAGUUUUC
This 1124-nucleotide long non-coding RNA is filed under the name Serinus canaria (Common canary). RNAcentral's name for it is "lncRNA (ENSSCAG00000014240.1)". The record is from RNAcentral. Lineage: Eukaryota; Metazoa; Chordata; Aves; Passeriformes; Fringillidae.